AGCAGCCGCGGUAAUUCCAGCUCCAAUAGCGUAUAUUAAAGUUGUUGCAGUUAAAAAGCUCGUAGUUGAAUUUCGGGGUUAGUAGGUUGGUCAUGCCACUGGUAUGUACUGAUCUUACUGAUUCCUCCUUCCUGAUGAACCGUAAUGCCAUUAAUUUGGUGUUGCGGGGAGACUGGACUGUUACUUUGAAAAAAUUAGAGUGUUUAAAGCAGGCUAACGCUUGAAUACAUUAGCAUGGAAUAAUGAAAUAGGACGUUCGAUCCUAUUUUGUUGGUUUU
This 278-nucleotide ribosomal RNA is filed under the name Glomeromycota sp. Its description in RNAcentral is "partial small subunit ribosomal RNA". It matches the Rfam family "Eukaryotic small subunit ribosomal RNA", at positions 569 to 852 of the family's 1831-position model. The record is from RNAcentral. Lineage: Eukaryota; Fungi; Glomeromycota.